AGUGGCGAACGGGUGAGUAACACGUGAGUAACCUGCCCUUGACUCUGGGAUAAGCGUUGGAAACGACGUCUAAUACCGGAUACGAGCUAGGACCGCAUGGUCACUAGCUGGAAAGAAUUUCGGUCAAGGAUGGACUCGCGGCCUAUCAGCUAGUUGGUGAGGUAACGGCUCACCAAGGCGACGACGGGUAGCCGGCCUGAGAGGGUGACCGGCCACACUGGGACUGAGACACGGCCCAGACUCCUACGGGAGGCAGCAGUGGGGAAUAUUGCACAAUGGGCGCAAGCCUGAUGCAGCAACGCCGCGUGAGGGACGACGGCCUUCGGGUUGUAAACCUCUUUUAGCAGGGAAGAAGCGCAAGUGACAGUACCUGCAGAAAAAGCACCGGCUAACUACGUGCCAGCAGCCGCGGUAAUACGUAGGGUGCAAGCGUUGUCCGGAAUUAUUGGGCGUAAAGAGCUCGUAGGCGGUCUGUCGCGUCUGCUGUGAAAACCCGAGGCUCAACCUUGGGCCUGCAGUGGGUACGGGCAGACUAGAGUGCGGUAGGGGAGAUUGGAGUUCCUGGAGUAGCGGUGGAAUGCGCAGAUAUCAGGAGGAACACCGAUGGCGAAGGCAGAUCUCUGGGCCGUAACUGACGCUGAGGAGCGAAAGCGUGGGGAGCGAACAGGAUUAGAUACCCUGGUAGUCCACGCCGUAAACG
RNAcentral lists this ribosomal RNA (700 nucleotides) under uncultured Actinomycetes bacterium. RNAcentral describes it as "bacterial SSU rRNA". It matches the Rfam family "Bacterial small subunit ribosomal RNA", at positions 94 to 808 of the family's 1533-position model. Lineage: Bacteria; Bacillati; Actinomycetota; Actinomycetes. The record is from RNAcentral.